Molecule: ribosomal RNA, 1471 nt
Filed under: uncultured Actinomycetes bacterium
Lineage: Bacteria; Bacillati; Actinomycetota; Actinomycetes
Description: uncultured actinobacterium 16S ribosomal RNA
Rfam family: Bacterial small subunit ribosomal RNA
Source: RNAcentral
UGGCUCAGGACGAACGCUGGCGGCGUGCUUAACACAUGCAAGUCGAACGGAAAGGCCCUGCUUUUGUGGGGUGCUCGAGUGGCGAACGGGUGAGUAACACGUGAGUAACCUGCCCUUGACUUUGGGAUAGCUUCAGGAAACUGGGGCUAAUACCGGAUAGGAGCUCCUGCUGCAUGGUGGGGGUUGGAAAGUUUCGGCGGUUGGGGAUGGACUCGCGGCUUAUCAGCUUGUUGGUGGGGUAGUGGCUUACCAAGGCUUUGACGGGUAGCCGGCCUGAGAGGGUGACCGGCCACAUUGGGACUGAGAUACGGCCCAGACUCCUACGGGAGGCAGCAGUGGGGAAUAUUGCACAAUGGGCGGAAGCCUGAUGCAGCAACGCCGCGUGCGGGAUGACGGCCUUCGGGUUGUAAACCGCUUUCGCCUGUGACGAAGCGUGAGUGACGGUAAUGGGUAAAGAAGCACCGGCUAACUACGUGCCAGCAGCCGCGGUGAUACGUAGGGUGCGAGCGUUGUCCGGAUUUAUUGGGCGUAAAGGGCUCGUAGGUGGUUGAUCGCGUCGGAAGUGUAAUCUUGGGGCUUAACCCUGAGCGUGCUUUCGAUACGGGUUGACUUGAGGAANGUAGGGGAGAAUGGAAUUCCUGGUGGAGCGGUGGAAUGCGCAGAUAUCAGGAGGAACACCAGUGGCGAAGCGGUUCUCUGGGCCUUUCCUGACGCUAAGAGCGAAAGCGUGGGAGCGAACAGGCUUAGAUACCCUGGUAGUCCACGCUGUAAACGGUGGGUACUAGGUGUGGGGUCCAUUCCACGGGUUCCGUGCCGUAGCUAACGCUUUAAGUACCCCGCCUGGGGAGUACGGCCGCAAGGCUAAAACUCAAAGGAAUUGACGGGGCCCCGCACAAGCGGCGGAGCAUGCGGAUUAAUUCGAUGCAACGCGUAGAACCUUACCUGGGUUUGACAUGGAUCGGGAGUGCUCAGAGAUGGGUGUGCCUCUUUUGGGGUCGGUUCACAGGUGGUGCAUGGCUGUCGUCAGCUCGUGUCGUGAGAUGUUGGGUUAAGUCCCGCAACGAGCGCAACCCUUGUUCACUGUUGCCAGCACGUUAUGGUGGGGACUCAGUGGAGACCGCCGGGGUCAACUCGGAGGAAGGUGGGGAUGACGUCAAGUCAUCAUGCCCCUUAUGUCCAGGGCUUCACGCAUGCUACAAUGGCUGGUACAGAGAGUGGCGAGCCUGUGAGGGUGAGCGAAUCUCGGAAAGCCGGUCUCAGUUCGGAUUGGGGUCUGCAACUCGACCUCAUGAAGUCGGAGUCGCUAGUAAUCGCAGAUCAGCAACGCUGCGGUGAAUACGUUCCCGGGGCUUGUACACACCGCCCGUCAAGUCAUGAAAGUUGGUAACACCCGAAGCCGGUGGCCUAACCGUUGUGGGGGAGCCGUCGAAGGUGGGACUGGUGAUUAGGACUAAGUCGUAACAAGGUAGCC